AGUCACCAACCCUCUCUCUACUUGGUCCUUUGCAAUCCUUUCCAGACCUUCUGUGGUCUCCUGUCACACAGGGCUCACUUGGGGGGGACCCUGAUGGCCAGAUUCUCUUGAACAGUCUCUAGGGACGUAUUGGGUAUUGCUAUACCUUCAUCCAUUGAACAGUUUUCCAGUGGCUCCAUAAUAUGUGAUAUCACAACAGAUUGAAUACAGAAACAGAACAAAUGAAGCAUCCAUUAACUUCGAAUGAUCAGAUGCUAGGGAGUGAGGAAUUUUCAGGCCAAAAUGCACUGGGUUAUUGUCUCCUAUUGACAGUGUGAUAUUACAGAUAACCUCUAGGAGAUCCUGAACAUAUUCAGGCUAAACCAGGCAAACAAACAUUCAGGAUGUUACCAGUGUGGAAAACCCCUAGGAGAGACAGCCAAAAUUAAGACUGAUGGAGAAAUUUCCCCCAGCAAUACCACUUAAAAAUAUGCAUUUUUUACUUUA
RNAcentral lists this non-coding RNA (486 nucleotides) under Pan troglodytes (chimpanzee). Lineage: Eukaryota; Metazoa; Chordata; Mammalia; Primates; Hominidae. The record is from RNAcentral.